AUUGAACGCUGGCGGCAGGCUUAACACAUGCACGUCGAGCGAGCGGCGGACGGGUGAGUAAUGUCUGGGAAACUGCCUGAUGGAGGGGGAUAACUACUGGAAACGGUAGAUACUACCGCAUACCAUCAGAUGUGCCCAGAUGGUAUUAGCUAGUAGGGGGGGUAAUGGCUCACCUAGGAGACGAUCCCUAGCUGGUCUGAGAGGAUGACCAGCCACACGGGAACUGGGACACGGUCCAGACCCCUACGGGAGGCAGCAGGGGGGAAUAUUGCACAAGGGGCGCAAGCCUGAUGCAGCCAUGCCGCGUGUGUGAAGAAGGCCUUCGGGUUGUAAAGCACUUUCAGCGAGGAGGCGUUACUCGCAGAAGAAGCACCGGCGAAGUACGUGACAGCAGCCGCGGUAAUUC
RNAcentral lists this ribosomal RNA (406 nucleotides) under uncultured bacterium. RNAcentral's name for it is "partial 16S ribosomal RNA". It matches the Rfam family "Bacterial small subunit ribosomal RNA", at positions 29 to 526 of the family's 1533-position model. The record is from RNAcentral.